UAAGAUUUGUAAGCAAGAAUGUUACCUCCCUACCACUUAGCGUUGUCGAGACAAGCAACGAUUCAUGCAAAUAGUUAUGAAUGUGCUCUGCAUGGUGGGGCUGUCAAUGCCUAGGCACACAUACCAUGCGCUUUACAUCAGAUAAGGACCAACUUUGUUCCUUUUCUACAACCACGUUAUCGAGCCAUUUGUGCAGCUGUAUAAAUUGAAUUGCUUUGCUUUGGAGGCUCUCAAUGUGUAAUAUACGAAUUCGUCUGCCUGACGCCAUUUGCAACUCCCGACGCCGUUGCGGACAGAGUGAUCUGUAACACACUUGCAACAUGAAACCCGUCAACUACGUUGUGAUUCUAUGUUGUAUUGCAUUGAGUACAUGUGUGGCGAGGCCAGCGCCCAGGGAGGAAAAAACGACAGCGGAAAUACGGAAUGAUUACACUCCCGGUUUACAUUUUAGUAGCCGGCUGCUAAAUUGGUGGUGUCUUUGGCUAAGGAGCAGAGGACCCGGAUGGAUGUAUGUUUAUGGGAGAAGCUGCUACCUUUCAGGCCAAGAUCGCAUUAUCGUCUCCAAUGCUCCAUUGAAAGUAUUGCAACAGUCUUCAAUUGGACCUGUUUACUGACAACAUGAAUCAAGCUCAAGAAAAAUGACACCGAAAAUAAUAAUAUUUUGUAACAUGUGACAGCUUCGUCACAUAUCUUAUUAACUCGGUGUACGAGAUUGUAUCAGCUGAAGUCCUUUUGCUCCCGUCUCUGGCUGUACAUGUCCAUUUAUAGUGCAUUUGCUUAAGGUCCUCCUUGGGAUACGUGUGUGAAGUCAUUGUGUUUCUAUUAAAUCAGUGUAUAAAUGA
Molecule: long non-coding RNA, 842 nt
Organism: Haliotis rufescens (red abalone)
Lineage: Eukaryota; Metazoa; Mollusca; Gastropoda; Lepetellida; Haliotidae
Exons: 2
Source: RefSeq, a predicted model, not a curated record